Molecule: unclassified non-coding RNA, 170 nt
Filed under: uncultured Sordariomycetes
Lineage: Eukaryota; Fungi; Ascomycota; Sordariomycetes
Description: sequence contains ITS2
Source: RNAcentral
CAACCCCUCGAGCCCCUCGGGGCUUGGUGUUAGGGCUUCCUACGUGCGCCGUAGGCCCUGAAUUCAAGUGGCGGGCUCGCUGCGAUCCCGAGCGUAGUAACACUACGUCGCUCAGGGCGUCGCGGCGGGCGCUGGCCGUAAAAGAAAACCGAACGGUUUACAACAAACAA